AGGGAAUAUUGGUAAUGUGCGAAAGCGCGAACCAGCAACGCCGCGUGCACGAUGAAGGCCUUCGGGUCGUAAAGUGCUUUUAGAGAGGAUGAGGAAGGACAGUACUUUCUGAAUAAGCCUCGGCUAACUACGUGCCAGCAGCCGCGGUAAAACGUAGGAGGCUAGCGUUAUCCGGAUUUACUGGGCGUAAAGCGCAUGCAGGUGGUUUUGUAAGUUGGAUGUGAAAGCUCCUGGCUUAACUGGGAGAGGUCGUUCAAAACUACAAGACUUGAGAUUGGUAGAUGAAAAUGGAAUUCCGGGUGUAGUGGUGAAAUGCGUAGAUAUCCGGAGGAACACCAGUGGCGAAAGCGGUUUUCUGGACCAAUUCUGACACUCAGAUGCGAAAGCUAAGGUAGCAAACG
RNAcentral lists this ribosomal RNA (401 nucleotides) under uncultured bacterium. RNAcentral's name for it is "bacterial SSU rRNA". It matches the Rfam family "Bacterial small subunit ribosomal RNA", at positions 356 to 774 of the family's 1533-position model. The record is from RNAcentral.